Molecule: ribosomal RNA, 640 nt
Filed under: uncultured bacterium
Lineage: Bacteria
Description: bacterial SSU rRNA
Rfam family: Bacterial small subunit ribosomal RNA
Source: RNAcentral
AGGAAGCGAUUCCGGCGGGGGAUGGGCAUGCGGCGCAUUAGCUAGUCGGCGGGGUAACGGCCCACCGAGGCGACGAUGCGUAGGGGUUCUGAGAGGAAGGUCCCCCACACUGGUACUGAGACACGGACCAGACUCCUACGGGAGGCAGCAGUGAGGAAUAUUGGUCAAUGGGCGGGAGCCUGAACCAGCCAAGUCGCGUGAGGGAAGACGGUCCUAUGGAUUGUAAACCUCUUUUGCCGGGGAGCAACGGGGUCCUUGCGAGGGCCUGAUGAGAGUACCCGGAGAAAAAGCAUCGGCUAACUCCGUGCCAGCAGCCGCGGUAAUACGGAGGAUGCGAGCGUUAUCCGGAUUUAUUGGGUUUAAAGGGUGCGUAGGCGGGCUGUUAAGUCAGCGGUCAAAUGUCGGGGCUCAACCCCGGCCUGCCGUUGAAACUGGUGGCCUCGAGUGGGCGAGAAGUAUGCGGAAUGCGUGGUGUAGCGGUGAAAUGCAUAGAUAUCACGCAGAACUCCGAUUGCGAAGGCAGCAUACCGGCGCCCGACUGACGCUGAGGCACGAAAGCGUGGGUAUCGAACAGGAUUAGAUACCCUGGUAGUCCACGCAGUAAACGAUGAAUGCUAGCUGUCCGGGGCUUCGGUCCUGG